AUUGAACGCUGGCGGCAGGCUUAACACAUGCAAGUCGAGCGGGGUGAUGGUGCUUGCACUAUCACUUAGCGGCGGACGGGUGAGUAAUGCUUAGGAAUCUGCCUAUUAGUGGGGGACAACAUCUCGAAAGGGAUGCUAAUACCGCAUACGUCCUACGGGAGAAAGCAGGGGAUCACUUGUGACCUCGCGCUGAUAGAUGAGCCUAAGUCGGAUUAGCUAGUUGGUGGGGUAAAGGCCUACCAAGGCGACGAUCUGUAGCGGGUCUGAGAGGAUGAUCCGCCACACUGGGACUGAGACACGGCCCAGACUCCUACGGGAGGCAGCAGUGGGGAAUAUUGGACAAUGGGGGGAACCCUGAUCCAGCCAUGCCGCGUGUGUGAAGAAGGCCUUAUGGUUGUAAAGCACUUUAAGCGAGGAGGAGGCUCUUUUGGUUAAUACCCAAGAUGAGUGGACGUUACUCGCAGAAUAAGCACCGGCUAACUCUGUGCCAGCCGCCGCAGUAA
Molecule: ribosomal RNA, 503 nt
Filed under: uncultured bacterium
Lineage: Bacteria
Description: partial 16S ribosomal RNA
Rfam family: Bacterial small subunit ribosomal RNA
Source: RNAcentral